Molecule: long non-coding RNA, 1358 nt
Filed under: Sus scrofa (pig)
Lineage: Eukaryota; Metazoa; Chordata; Mammalia; Artiodactyla; Suidae
Description: lncRNA (ENSSSCG00015063763.1)
Source: RNAcentral
UGCAUUACCACCGACCAGUCCUCAGCCGGCAACAUGAAGCUGGGUGGCCUCUGCCUCCUGCUCCUCCUCGCCGUCCUUCUCACCCUCAAUGCAGAGUUCCAAGCAGUUGAUGUAGGUAUCUGUGUGACGGAGUGCAAGGUAGACCAGGACUGUGGGGCAGGAAGACGAUGCACCAGCAAUGGAUGUGGCCGGGUCUGCUCCCCAGUCCGGCGAAGAGAGGCCUGCGAGCACCAGUGCAGAGAAGACAGGGACUGUGGGAGUGGACAUCCGUGCGUGAGGAAGGGCUGUGGGCACGUCUGCGCCCCCGUCCAUCAAGUCGGGAUCUGUGUGACGGAGUGCAAGGUAGACCAGGACUGUGGGGCAGGAAGACGAUGCACCAGCAAUGGAUGUGGCCGGGUCUGCUCCCCAAUCCAGCGAAGAGAGGCCUGCGAGCACCAGUGCAGAGAAGACAGGGACUGUGGGAGUGGACAUCAGUGCGUGAGGAAGGGCUGUGGGCACGUCUGCGCCCCCGUCCAUCAAGUCGAUGUAGGUAUCUGUGUGACGGAGUGCCGUGUAGACCAGGACUGUGGGGCAGGAAGACGAUGCACCAGCAAUGGAUGUGGCCGGGUCUGCUCCCCAAUCCAGCGAAGAGAGGCCUGCGAGCACCAGUGCAGAGAAGACAGGGACUGUGGGAGUGGACAUCAGUGCGUGAGGAAGGGCUGUGGGCACGUCUGCGCCCCCGUCCAUCAAGUCGGUAUCUGUGUGACGGAGUGCAACGUAGACCAGGACUGUGGGGAAGGAAGACAAUGCACCAGCAAUGGGUGUGGCCGUGUCUGCUCCCCAGUCCAGCAAGAAGAUGUAGGUAUCUGUGUGACGGAGUGCAAGGUAGACCAGGACUGUGGGGAAGGAAGACGAUGCACCAGCAAUGGGUGUGGCCGUGUCUGCUCCCCAGUCCAGCAAAAAGAGGCCUGCGAGCACCAGUGCAGAGAAGACAGGGACUGUGGGAGUGGACAUCAGUGCGUGAGGAAGGGCUGUGGGCACGUCUGCGCCCCCGUCCAUCAAGUCGAUGUAGGUAUCUGUGUGACGGAGUGCAAGGUAGACCAGGACUGUGGGGAAGGAAGACGAUGCACCAGCAAUGGAUGUGGCCGUGUCUGCUCCCCAGCCCAGCAAAGAGAGGCCUGCGAGCACCAAUGCAGAGAAGACAAGGACUGUGGGAGUGGACAUCAGUGCGUGAGGAAGGGCUGUGGGCACGUCUGCUCCCCCAUCCCUCAAGUAGGUAUCUGUGUGACGGAGUGCAAUGUAGACCAGGACUGUGGGGCAGGAAGACGAUGCACCAGCAAUGGAUGUGGCCGUGUCUGCUCCCCACCCCAGGGAGGAGG